GAUGAACGCUGGCGGCGUGCCUAACACAUGCAAGUCGAACGGAGAUUACGGACGGAAGUUUUCGGAUGGAAGCCUGUAAUUCUUAGUGGCGGACGGGUGAGUAACGCGUGGGCAACCUGCCCUAUACAGGGGGAUAGCAGCUGGAAACGGCUGGUAAGACCGCAUAAGUCGGUUAAAUCGCAUGAUUUGAUCGGGAAAUGAGCAAUCAGGUAUAGGAUGGGCCCGCGUCCGAUUAGCCAGUUGGCAGGGUAAAAGCCUACCAAAGCGACGAUCGGUAGCCGGACUGAGAGGUCGGACGGCCACAUUGGGACUGAGACACGGCCCAAACUCCUACGGGCGGCAGCAGUGGGGGAUAUUGCACAAUGGAGGAAACUCUGAUGCAGCGACGCCGCGUGAGUGAAGAAGUAUUUCGGUAUGUAAAGCUCUAUCAGCAGGGAAGAUGAUGACGGUACCUGACGAAGAAGCCCCGGCUAACUACGUG
RNAcentral lists this ribosomal RNA (481 nucleotides) under uncultured bacterium. Its description in RNAcentral is "partial 16S ribosomal RNA". It matches the Rfam family "Bacterial small subunit ribosomal RNA", at positions 28 to 507 of the family's 1533-position model. The record is from RNAcentral.